This 874-nucleotide long non-coding RNA is filed under the name Vulpes vulpes (red fox). RNAcentral describes it as "lncRNA (ENSVVUG00000026527.1)". The record is from RNAcentral. Lineage: Eukaryota; Metazoa; Chordata; Mammalia; Carnivora; Canidae.
AAUUAGAACAGAUUUUAAAGCUGAAUUUUAUGGAAGUAAUGUUUAUAAAAGAAAACCAGGGGGACGCGGCUUCCGCCUGGCUUGACCAACUUUAGGCAGGAUGCAGGACCCUAAUGCAGACACUGAGUGGAAUGACAUCUUAUGCAAAAAGGGCAUCUUGCCCUCAAAGGAAAAUUUGAAAGAUUUGGAAAAGGAGGCAGAAGAAGAACAGUGAGUCCUUCAGCAGUCAGUUGGCAGCCAAGGCUGGCUGAGUGGAAAGCAACUCAACUGAAGAAUAAAUUUGGAGAAGUUUUGGAGAUCUCAGGAAAGGAUUAUGUUCAAGAAGUUACCAACGCCGGAUUCCCCUCUGUGCCCUCAUAAAUCAACACUUCAGUGGAAUUGCCAGGAAGUUUUCUGAUGUCAAAUUUAUCAAAGCCAUUUCAACAACCUGCAUACCCAAUUAUCCUGAUAGGAAUCUGCCUACAAUAUUUGUUUACCUUGAAGGUGAUAUCAAGGCUCAAUUUAUUGGACCUCUGGUGUUCAGUGGCAUGAAUCUGACAAUAGAUGAGUUGCAGUGGAAACUGUCAGAGUCUGAAGCAAUCAAGACAGACUUGGAUGAAAACCCUAAGAAACCAAUUGAAGACACUUUGCUAUCCUCAGUGCGAUGCUCCAUUCCCACAAGAAGGGACAGUGAUUUUGAGGAUGACUAAGACUGUGGCCUUGGUAAUGUGCCAGACUUCCUUGAUGUGACAAAUCAUCUGGAUUUUUUUUAAAAGGGAAAAAGUAGAAAUUCUUUUUGGCUUUUAAUUUUUUUACAAUUAUGUUUCAAAUCUCAUAGAUCUCAGAAAUUAUCGUUGCUGAGAAUCGUGUUACAUUUCUUAGAACUCUCUUUUUA